UUAGGAUUCAAAUCUUGGCUAGAUUUUUUUUUUAAAAAAAGCACUGAACAGACUUUCCUUUUGACAAGCUGUAUUGUAAAAAGAAAAGAAACCAAACAACACAUUCAGGUAAAUACAAAUAAUGAAAUUGCUGUCUUGUGUUCUGGGAGUGUUGCUAGAAGCAGCUGUUAAUACUUGAUUUAAGAAGCAUGAGCCAUUUUGUGUACUUCUAUAGGCAGGCACAAGUACAGACGUGUCUUUAUAACUAGUGAAAUUCCCUGCAGAGAUACAGACUAAAGGUCUAUAGGCCACACAGGGUGCGGCCUCCGCAGAGGCCUAACGGAGAAAGAGGUUCGUGCCUGUUUGAAGCAGCUGGCUUCCCUUGGGAAGGUGGGACACUGCUUUUCAAGGGGAGGAGAUUUAGCUGUCUGGACAACCACAGACCAGCAUUAGGUUGAGACAUGAAUACAAGCCUAACAAACUGUGUUCACAGAUGCAGAAAAAGGAGACUAGGAAAACCCCUGGCAUCAGUGUGUGCCUUCCACGAAUUACUUAGAAACUGCAUCUUCCUGUGCUUCAUGAGUUCUUUCUUUCCUAUAAACACUUUGAACACAACUUUGAAACAGAAUAUUCCAAGCUCCAGAGAGCAGUCCAAGGUUGGCUCAUUCAGAACUGCUCGGAAAGAUCAGCUAAGGCAGAAGUAUCAGUUUUAUAGCACAUAAAUGUAAAGUUUAAGCUUACGGUAAAAUGUACGUUUAAGAAACCACCAGGAACUGCUUUCAUACCAGAACAGAGAAUCAAGACUGAUGAUGGAUUAGUAGAACAUCUACUGCCAGAGGCAACAAGCAACAGCCUGAAGACAAAGAAUCUGAAAUGAUUUGCUUUUGUAUUUUACCUUAUUUCCAUUUUUCCCCAUUAGCCUUAAGGUGCUAAAUAAGAUGUGUUGUUUAACCUUUCUGUAAUUACAUGAAGGCAACAUCCUCAUUUUCCUAAAACAAAACAAAACACAGUGCAAUGGUAUAAUUUCUUUUAGUAAAAAUUAGCAGCUAACAGAGAUGCAAGAAAGUAAAUGCAAGACCAUAUAUGUUAGCAAAGAAAUUCAUCAGAGAUAUGGGUUUCAGUUCAGGCCACCAAAUUCAUCUUUGUUCAGACCCAAUGUACCCAAAUUCUUAAGACAUCUUACUUUCUGACAUUCGCAAAAUAAAUAUUUAGAGUAUAGCUGUUGUUUUUUUGUU
This 1214-nucleotide long non-coding RNA is filed under the name Anas platyrhynchos platyrhynchos (common mallard). Its description in RNAcentral is "lncRNA (ENSAPLG00000026228.1)". The record is from RNAcentral. Lineage: Eukaryota; Metazoa; Chordata; Aves; Anseriformes; Anatidae.